This 1296-nucleotide long non-coding RNA is filed under the name Macaca fascicularis (crab-eating macaque). RNAcentral's name for it is "lncRNA (ENSMFAG00000047671.1)". The record is from RNAcentral. Lineage: Eukaryota; Metazoa; Chordata; Mammalia; Primates; Cercopithecidae.
UUUUUUUUUUUUUUUUUUUUGAGAUAGUCUCGCUCUGUCCCCCAGGCUGGAGUGCAGUGGCGUGAUCUUGGCUCAUUGCAACCUCUGCUCCCAGGUUCACGUCAUUCUCCUGCCUCAGCCUCCCGAGUAGCUGGGACUACAGGUGCCCGCCAACACACAGGGCUAAUUUUUUUGUAUUUUUGGUAGAGAUGGGGUUUCACCGUCUUAGCCAGGAUGGUCUCGAUCUCUUGACCUCGUGAUCCGCCCGCCUCGACCUCCCUAAGUGCUGGGAUUCCAGGCGUGAGUCACCGCGCCCGGCCAUUCUGCAACAAUUAGUUAUUGGUUUCAAACAAAUGCUAACAGAUUUAUCAAUUGGUUUCUCAUUUAUCAAAAUUAUUGAUUAACACCGUUCUUUCACCCAGGAAUCAUCCUAUUUUGUGUGGUAUUUUCCUUUGAAGGUCUUUUUAGGUCUAACUGAAACAUUUAAAGCAUAAAAUAACUGACAUUCUCAAUAAAAAAAUAAACGUCUCUCAUUCACAAAUCCACUUAAGAUGCUCCAGAAUAUAUUCUUGGGAAUGUUUUUUAAAAGCUUCUUUCAGGAAUCAGUCAACAUUAUUUACUGAGCACCUAAUUUGUACACAGCCUUGUAAAUAAUUACGAGAGAAGUGUGUCAGAAUCUCAGUUAUAACAUUCACUAGCUGGUGACUUUCAGUUCGCCACAUAAAUGCUUAGAGCUUUAAGAGUUUUGUGUUUAAAAUGGGAAUAAUGCCAAAACUUUGUGUGAUCAGCCUAGGGAUUAAUAAAUAAAGAUGCUCCUAGCCUGGAACUUAACAUGUGUUUAAAUAUAUGACAAACUUUAUUUCCUCUUGUGUGUAAUUCCUCCCCCACAAAAACAACAAAGAACCAUCAUUAGUAACGAGGAAGCUUCACUUCUACCUGUGACAACAAAUUAAAAAAUAUAAGACACCAUAUGGUGAAGUAUUAAACUGCAGAAUAUAACAAUUAAAAUAGAGCUUCAAACAUAGGCAAUGGCUAAAGAGGUUAAUGUUAUACCGGAGAAAUUGACCCGCCUUUCAAAGAAUGGGUAUGAUUUUACUGGCUUUUUCUCGGGUUCACGCUUAAGUUCAAUGUCCUUAGCAUAACAUGCAAGAACUUUUCUCUCUGAAUCCUGGCCACCCAACUGGCAUAAUCCCCUUUUUUGUGUUUAUACUACCCCUGGAUCUUGCCAUAUUUGCUGUUAUAACAACAUCCUAGACAUCAACGUUGUGAAUUUCAAUUAGUAUAUUGAUACAAUCACCGUAUAUUGUAGUCUGCAGC